Molecule: long non-coding RNA, 641 nt
Organism: Sitophilus oryzae (rice weevil)
Lineage: Eukaryota; Metazoa; Arthropoda; Insecta; Coleoptera; Curculionidae
Exons: 3
Source: RefSeq, a predicted model, not a curated record
CGAGGCGGCUUAAUUGGGAUGGGAACUGACUGGUGAGGCUUAAUCGUCGACCAAUGGGUCGAAUCUGCACAAGGAAGGCAACCAGCACACACUCGCAGGCGGGUCGUGGAAACAUUUCUUUGUUUUUUCUCUUGGUCUGCCCCGCGUCGAAUUUUGAAGGCAGAAAAUGUCGGGAGGAGGCGAGCAUAACCAGGCCUAACUCAAACCUGUUAAAAGACAACCCGGGUUCGCAGCGCGAUUUUAAAAAACAAGAUUGAAAAAGUCAGAAAUUCUAUCUACAUGCUACAUAUGAUCAGUCCCAAAAAAUUUCGGAUUGUUCCAGGCACCGUCGAAUACCUGGAAAACGUGUUUAUUGUCAACUCUACAGGAUCGACCGAAGUCCAUGGAGUUGGGGGCAUUCGAUGUGCCCCAUAGCAGUGAGACGCCACUGUUUUUUUCGCCGUAUAAUUAUUAUGGCGGGACUGAAAAUGAACUUAAGCAAGAUGCGAUGGUGAUACGGUAGGGCUGGAGAACUUCAAAAGUCGGUUCGCGUCGUGGUUCCAAAGCAGUAACUUUAGGUUCCCUACAUUUACAGAAUGUUGCAUUAAGUACUCGUUUUUUAAUUUACAAUUUUUACAUCCAUUUUACUUUUUUUCUUACUC